RNAcentral lists this long non-coding RNA (489 nucleotides) under Sinocyclocheilus anshuiensis. RNAcentral's name for it is "lncRNA (ENSSANG00000040330.1)". Lineage: Eukaryota; Metazoa; Chordata; Actinopteri; Cypriniformes; Cyprinidae. The record is from RNAcentral.
AACCGACUCACUAUUUAAUGAGGCAUCUCAAGUUUUGUUUGUAAACGGUCGAGUGUACGGAUACACAACUUGUUUGCUGAAAUAUUGCUAGGGGAAAUAUUUCUCCCUGUUGCCUAUAUGUAGCCUGUGGUUGAUAGACCCUGACACUACAGUUACAGUGGUUGAAUAAGUCUAUCACUCUGAUGAGCUUUGUCCACCUUCUCCAUCCGAUGAGGUACAACAGCUAAAUCCAAUACUUGGUGAGUGCUGCGGAUGGGCCGGUGAGGAGUGUACCUGUCUGCCUUCGAGGCUCAGAGAUCUGGCUGAUGGCCUAAUGCUGGGAGGCAUGAGGAGGAAAUGGACAGCAGAGAAGGCGUUGGUGUUAUGAAGCAAGCGCACUCCCAUUGUCUCAUCCCAUAUAAGUUAGUAAGUCCCUUUCCAUCCUCUGAAAUAGCAGUGAAGCGCUGAAAGAAACAGCUCAAGUGGAACAGCAUGGAGCCGAGUAACAAG